This 377-nucleotide ribosomal RNA is filed under the name uncultured bacterium. RNAcentral describes it as "bacterial SSU rRNA". It matches the Rfam family "Bacterial small subunit ribosomal RNA", at positions 523 to 898 of the family's 1533-position model. The record is from RNAcentral.
AUACGAAGGUGGCUAGCGUUGUUCGGUGUCACUGGGCUUAAAGCGCUUGUAGGCGGAGUCGUAAGUGUCUUGUGAAAUCCCCCGGCUCAACCGGGGAAUGGCUGGGCAUACUGCGAUUCUUGAGGCAAGUAGGGGUGCAUGGAACUCUUGGUGGAGCGGUGGAAUGCGUAGAUAUCAAGAGGAACGCCGAUGGUGAAGACAGUGCACUGGGCUUGUCCUGACGCUGAGGAGCGAAAGCGUGGGGAGCAAACAGGAUUAGAUACCCUGGUAGUCCACGCCCUAAACUAUGUUUACUAGGUUGUGGAGGUUCUGACGCCCUCACAGUCGAAGCAAAAGUGUUAAGUAAACCGCCUGGGGAGUACGGUCGCAAGGCUAAA